UAACGAAGUGGUUGAUGCCAUGCUUCCAAGAAAAGCUUCUAAGCUUCAGGUAACCAGGAACCGUACCCCAAACCGACACAGGUGGUUGGGUAGAGAAUACCAAGGCGCUUGAGAGAACUCGGGUGAAGGAACUAGGCAAAAUGGCACCGUAACUUCGGGAGAAGGUGCGCCGGUGAGGGUGAAGGACUUGCUCCGUAAGCCCAUGCCGGUCGAAGAUACCAGGCCGCUGCGACUGUUUAUUAAAAACACAGCACUCUGCAAACACGAAAGUGGACGUAUAGGGUGUGACGCCUGCCCGGUGCCGGAAGGUUAAUUGAUGGGGUUAGCUAACGCGAAGCUCUUGAUCGAAGCCCCGGUAAACGGCGGCCGUAACUAUAACGGUCCUAAGGUAGCGAAAUUCCUUGUCGGGUAAGUUCCGACCUGCACGAAUGGCGUAACGAUGGCGGCGCUGUCUCCACCCGAGACUCAGUGAAAUUGAAAUCGCUGUGAAGAUGCAGUGUAUCCGCGGCUAGACGGAAAGACCCCGUGAACCUUUACUAUAGCUUUGCACUGGACUUUGAAUUUGCUUGUGUAGGAUAGGUGGGAGGCUUUGAAGCGUGGACGCCAGUCUGCGUGGAGCCAACCUUGAAAUACCACCCUGGCAACUUUGAGGUUCUAACUCAGGUCCGUUAUCCGGAUCGAGGACAGUGUAUGGUGGGUAGUUUGACUGGGGCGGUCUCCUCCUAAAGAGUAACGGAGGAGUACGAAGGUGCGCUCAGACCGGUCGGAAAUCGGUCGUAGAGUAUAAAGGCAAAAGCGCGCUUGACUGCGAGACAGACACGUCGAGCAGGUACGAAAGUAGGUCUUAGUGAUCCGGUGGUUCUGUAUGGAAGGGCCAUCGCUCAACGGAUAAAAGGUACUCCGGGGAUAACAGGCUGAUACCGCCCAAGAGUUCAUAUCGACGGCGGUGUUUGGCACCUCGAUGUCGGCUCAUCACAUCCUGGGGCUGAAGCCGGUCCCAAGGGUAUGGCUGUUCGCCAUUUAAAGUGGUACGCGAGCUGGGUUUAGAACGUCGUGAGACAGUUCGGUCCCUAUCUGCCGUGGACGUUUGAGAUUUGAGAGGGGCUGCUCCUAGUACGAGAGGACCGGAGUGGACGAACCUCUGGUGUUCCGGUUGUCACGCCAGUGGCAUUGCCGGGUAGCUAUGUUCGGAAUAGAUAACCGCUGAAAGCAUCUAAGCGGGAAACUAGCCUCAAGAUGAGAUCUCACUGGGACCUUGAGUCCCCUGAAGGGCCGUCGAAGACUACGACGUUGAUAGGUUGGGUGUGUAAGCGCUGUGAGGCGUUGAGCUAACCAAUACUAAUUGCCCGUGAGGCUUGACCAUA
Molecule: ribosomal RNA, 1364 nt
Filed under: Pseudomonas sp. NFACC25
Lineage: Bacteria; Pseudomonadati; Pseudomonadota; Gammaproteobacteria; Pseudomonadales; Pseudomonadaceae
Description: bacterial LSU rRNA
Rfam family: Bacterial large subunit ribosomal RNA
Source: RNAcentral